This is a small nuclear RNA of 184 nucleotides. Its record names the gene U2. It matches the Rfam family "U2 spliceosomal RNA". From Rfam's summary of the family: U2 is a small nuclear RNA (snRNA) component of the spliceosome (involved in pre-mRNA splicing). The record is from Ensembl.
AUCACUUCUCGGCCUUUUGGCUAAGAUCAAGAGUGGUAUCUGCUCUUAUCAGUUCAAUAUCAGAUAUGUCCUCUGAUAAGGACAAUAUAUUAAAUGGAUUUUUGGAGCAGAGUGUUGGCUGUUGCUCCAUCCACUCCAUGCAUCGAACUGGUGUUGCAGCAUCUCCAGGAAUGAUGCACAGAAA